UACGAAGGGGGCUAGCGUUGCUCGGAAUGACUGGGCGUAAAGGGCGCGUAGGCGGAUGGCACAGUCAGAUGUGAAAUUCCCGGGCUUAACCUGGGGGCUGCAUUUGAUACGUGUUGUCUUGAGUUCGGAAGAGGGUCGUGGAAUUCCCAGUGUAGAGGUGGAAUUCGUAGAUAUUGGGAAGAACACCGGUGGCGAAGGCGGCGACCUGGUCCGACACUGACGCUGAGGCGCGAAAGCGUGGGGAGCAAACAGG
This 253-nucleotide ribosomal RNA is filed under the name uncultured bacterium. RNAcentral describes it as "partial 16S ribosomal RNA". It matches the Rfam family "Bacterial small subunit ribosomal RNA", at positions 524 to 776 of the family's 1533-position model. The record is from RNAcentral.